CUUGUACACACCGCCCGUCACACCACGAGAGUUUGUAACACCCGAAGUCGGUGAGGUAACCUUUUUGGAGCCAGCCGCCGAAGGUGGGACAGAUGAUUGGGGUGAAGUCGUAACAAGGUAGCCGUAUCGGAAGGUGCGGCUGGAUCACCUCCUUUCUAAGGAUUUUAACGGAAUAUAAGACCUUGGGUCUUAUAAACAGAACGUUCCCUGUCUUGUUUAGUUUUGAAGGAUCAUUCGAUUCUUCGAGAUGUUGUUCUUUGAAAACUAGAUAACAGAAGUAAUUCACAUUCAAUUGUAAUGCAAGAUAUCACGUAGUGAUUCUUUUUAACGGUUAAGUUAGAAAGGGCGCACGGUGGAUGCCUUGGCACUAGGAGCCGAUGAAGGACGGGACGAACACCGAUAUGCUUCGGGGAGCUGUAAGCAAAGCUUUGAUCCGGANAUUUCCCGAAUGGGGAAAACCCNACCACUCGUAAUGGAGUGGUAUCCCAUAUCCUGAAUACNUUAGGNAUAUGNANAANGGCAAACCCGGGCNCANCUGNAAACAUCUUAAAGUUACCA
RNAcentral lists this unclassified non-coding RNA (558 nucleotides) under bacterium GI954. RNAcentral describes it as "partial contains 16S ribosomal RNA, 16S-23S ribosomal RNA intergenic spacer, and 23S ribosomal RNA". The stretch from base 1 to 155 matches the Rfam family "Bacterial small subunit ribosomal RNA", at positions 1380 to 1533 of the family's 1533-position model. The record is from RNAcentral.